Molecule: non-coding RNA, 177 nt
Filed under: Desulfosporosinus acidiphilus
Lineage: Bacteria; Bacillati; Bacillota; Clostridia; Eubacteriales; Desulfitobacteriaceae
Source: RNAcentral
UAAAAAUCAGACAUUAGAGGUGCCCUUUAAAUAAAGGGAGAAUAGGGAACUGGGUGAGAAUCCCAGACGGACCCACCACUGUAAAUGAGGAGACUUAUAUAAAGCCACUGGGUGACCGGGAAGGUGUAUAAGUUGAUGAUUCUAAGUCAGGAGACCUGCCUAUAAUGUAGAACAUGA